GGGCAGGAUAGGCAUUCGUCAGACCGCCAGCAGGCUGGGCCGUUCCGAAUGCUGCAACUUAUUCGACCUGACGGUCUCAACGCAUUCUUCUCUACGAGGGA
Marinobacterium stanieri is the source of this 101-nucleotide regulatory RNA element. It matches the Rfam family "traJ-II RNA". Lineage: Bacteria; Pseudomonadati; Pseudomonadota; Gammaproteobacteria; Oceanospirillales; Oceanospirillaceae. The record is from Rfam.